RNAcentral lists this ribosomal RNA (801 nucleotides) under uncultured beta proteobacterium. RNAcentral's name for it is "bacterial SSU rRNA". It matches the Rfam family "Bacterial small subunit ribosomal RNA", at positions 79 to 873 of the family's 1533-position model. The record is from RNAcentral. Lineage: Bacteria; Pseudomonadati; Pseudomonadota; Betaproteobacteria.
CUUGCUCUCUGAUGGCGAGUGGCGAACGGGUGAGUAAUAUAUCGGAACGUGCCCAGUAAUGGGGAAUAACUAAUUGAAAGAUUAGCUAAUACCGCAUACGACCUACGGGUGAAAGCAGGGGAUCUUCGGACCUUGCGUUAUUGGAGCGGCCGAUAUCUGAUUAGCUAGUUGGUAGGGUAAAAGCCUACCAAGGCGACGAUCAGUAGCUGGUCUGAGAGGACGAUCAGCCACACUGGAACUGAGACACGGUCCAGACUCCUACGGGAGGCAGCAGUGGGGAAUUUUGGACAAUGGGGGAAACCCUGAUCCAGCCAUCCCGCGUGAGUGAGGAAGGCCUUCGGGUUGUAAAGCUCUUUCGGAAGUGAAGAAAACUUAUUUCGUAAUAUGUUAUAAGAAUGACGGUAACUUUAGAAGAAGCACCGGCUAACUACGUGCCAGCAGCCGCGGUAAUACGUAGGGUGCGAGCGUUAAUCGGAAUUACUGGGCGUAAAGCGUGCGCAGGCGGUUUUGUAAGUCAGAUGUGAAAUCCCCGAGCUUAACUUGGGAACUGCGUUUGAAACUACAAGACUAGAGUGUGUCAGAGGGGGGUAGAAUUCCACGUGUAGCAGUGAAAUGCGUAGAGAUGUGGAGGAAUAUCAAUGGCGAAGGCAGCCCCCUGGGAUAACACUGACGCUCAUGCACGAAAGCGUGGGGAGCGAACAGGAUUAGAUACCCUGGUAGUCCACGCCCUAAACGAUGUCAACUAGUUGUUGGUGGAGUAAGAUCCAUGAGUAACGUAGCUAACGCGUGAAGUUGACCGCC